RNAcentral lists this long non-coding RNA (1963 nucleotides) under Medicago truncatula (barrel medic). RNAcentral describes it as "lncRNA gene2868". The record is from RNAcentral. Lineage: Eukaryota; Viridiplantae; Streptophyta; Magnoliopsida; Fabales; Fabaceae.
UUCCAUUAAAACAAUUAUUUGGAUAAAAUUAUUGUUUUUCAACCAUAUAUCACUUAACAAAGGGCGAAUUCAUAAGGAACAAUGACUCCAAAAUAGAACAUUAUUAAUACAUGUUAAAGUGGAUAAACAUCUUUGAUAAUCACCAACACACUGGCUUCCUCUGCAUGUUGUUUAAGGUUGCUUAUAUGACAAACUCCUAUCAAAAACCAUAAGGUGAGUAAUCAAAUCAUGUUAACUUAUAGUAGUAGUCGGUAAACAAUUUACAUGUAGUUAUAUGUUCAAAUAUGAUAACUAAAUAAAAAUAUUUAAAAUUUAAAUGAUUCACUAUAGUUUAACACAUAUACACAACAUUAAGGAGUCAAAAACAUAUUGUUAAUUAAAGCCAUAUAUCUACUCAUUCAUGUUCUAUCAUUAAGUCAUUAAUGUGGUCACAGCUAAUGGCUACACGUAUGAGUUCGAACUCAAUUUUAUUGAUUUAUAAUAAUAAUAAUCUAUACUAUAUAUAAAAAAACAACUCAUUUCAACUGUUUUAGGCUGGCCUUUUCUUUCAAAAAAAUGCCAUCAAUUUUCAAUACAUGUAACAAAUAGAUAAGAAUAAAUUUAAAUAUUAAAAAAAUAUAACAAAUACGAUAUGAUUAUAUAUAUGUCUGGUUUUUUUUUUUCCAUUAUCAUUUAAAAAAUGUAACAAACUAGAUGAGUAUAUUUAUACAUACCUUUUCAUUAUUUCAAUUAUACCCUUAAACAACUCUUUAUAUAAUAAAGAUUGUUGUUGGUGUCGCUAAAAAAAGGUAUCCAGAUUAUAUCUUUUUUGUUAUAUUUUUUGUGUCAUUGAAAUAGAUAACCACGGUUAGUUUGAUUUGUUAUAACUUGAAAGCAAAAAACAUUUAUAUUUUUAAUUUUAAUCAAAAUCAAAAUUUCGUAAAAAAACAUCGCUCAUAAUUUUCAAACGUUAGCGCAAUAAAAAGAGCAGAAAAAAACGGCCACGUUAGUGCCCGUCUUUUCGCCAGUAGUAAUAAUAAUAAUAAUAAUAAUAAUAUCUUUAGAUUUCACAUAAUUUUCGCGUUGAUUUCAAGUAAAACAAACUUUUAAUGAUGAAGAUUGCACCAAAAUAAUGAAACUAAUCAAUGGAAGUGUUGGUGUUUUAAGUGAUGAGAUGGAAGGGUUAUAAAAUUUAAAAUUUGUACUUGAACUGGUAAAUCAAUCGUAGUAAUAUUAUUAUAUUUUUAAAACUCCGUACCCGAUCCAUGGACCGAGUAAUCUAAGGAGACCAGUCUCACCGCUUACUUGUGGGAGACCCCAUUUACAGUCAGAGCAAAGCUCUGUAUGGACUUACCCACUGAAAUUGGCACCAAAGUGAAUUGAACGUGAGACCUUGAGAGGAGCACACUCUAAAAUCGAAAGUCAACCAAUAGUCAAAUCUCAAAUUGGUCAAUCGUAGGAAUAUUAUCUUGAAGUUGUAGCAAAAAUGGAGCAAUAUUCUUGCAUAUCCCUUGUACCGUCAAGAUUGAGUUCCGCAUCUUGCUUCAACUACCUUGUUUUGUUAUUUCUCUACCUACCUUUUCUUUUCUAUUAACACUAUUGUUUUCUCUAAUAUUAGGAAUUAACUAAAAAAAUUUCUCAAAAUAUAAAAUCUUUAUCGGUAUAAACUUUUAAAAAAGUAUUCAAAUAGACAAACCUGCAUUUACACAAAUUACGAAUACAUCUCACAAAGUUAUUAGGGGGACACACAAAGAAGUUUGGACAAUCACCGGCGACGGUGCACGUUAUAUCUGCAAAGUAAAAUAACAAUAGAUCAAUUUCAUCAAAAGGUAAUGAAAGGUUGUGUAUAACAUAAAGAAUAAAAUGCAAAACCACUUACCUUUACUGGUUACAACCAGAAUUAAGGAAAGAAAUAUAAUCAAAGCAUAGAAAGACUUGGAAAUUUGAGUCAUAUUUUUCCUCCUUUUCAACUAAUAAGUUGAAA